RNAcentral lists this ribosomal RNA (253 nucleotides) under uncultured bacterium. RNAcentral describes it as "partial 16S ribosomal RNA". It matches the Rfam family "Bacterial small subunit ribosomal RNA", at positions 524 to 776 of the family's 1533-position model. The record is from RNAcentral.
UACGGAGGGUGCAAGCGUUGUUCGGAUUUAUUGGGCGUAAAGCGCGUGUAGGCGGUCUCUUAAGUCUGAUGUGAAAGCCCCGGGCUCAACCCGGGAAGUGCAUUGGAUACUGGGAGACUUGAAUACGGGAGAGGGUAGUGGAAUUCCUAGUGUAGGAGUGAAAUCCGUAGAUAUUAGGAGGAACACCGGUGGCGAAGGCGGCUACCUGGACCGAUAUUGACGCUGAGGCGCGAAAGCGUGGGGAGCAAACAGG